This 279-nucleotide ribosomal RNA is filed under the name uncultured bacterium. RNAcentral describes it as "partial 16S ribosomal RNA". It matches the Rfam family "Bacterial small subunit ribosomal RNA", at positions 506 to 784 of the family's 1533-position model. The record is from RNAcentral.
UGCCAGCAGCCGCGGUAAUACGGAGGGGGCUAGCGUUGUUCGGAAUUACUGGGCGUAAAGCGCGCGUAGGCGGACUUUCAAGUCAGGGGUGAAAUCCCGAGGCUCAACCUCGGAACUGCCUUUGAUACUGAGAGUCUUGAGUCCGAGAGAGGUGAGUGGAAUUCCUAGUGUAGGGGUGAAAUCCGUAGAUAUUCGGAGGAACACCAGUGGCGAAGGCGGCUUUCUGGACCGAUACUGACGCUGAGACGCGAAAGCGUGGGGAGCAAACAGGAUUAGAUA